RNAcentral lists this ribosomal RNA (436 nucleotides) under Achromobacter sp. Its description in RNAcentral is "bacterial SSU rRNA". It matches the Rfam family "Bacterial small subunit ribosomal RNA", at positions 48 to 486 of the family's 1533-position model. The record is from RNAcentral. Lineage: Bacteria; Pseudomonadati; Pseudomonadota; Betaproteobacteria; Burkholderiales; Alcaligenaceae.
CUUACACAUGCAAGUCGAACGGCAGCACGGACUUCGGUCUGGUGGCGAGUGGCGAACGGGUGAGUAAUGUAUCGGAACGUGCCCAGUAGCGGGGGAUAACUACGCGAAAGCGUAGCUAAUACCGCAUACGCCCUACGGGGGAAAGCAGGGGAUCGUAAGACCUUGCACUAUUGGAGCGGCCGAUAUCGGAUUAGCUAGUUGGUGGGGUAACGGCUCACCAAGGCGACGAUCCGUAGCUGGUUUGAGAGGACGACCAGCCACACUGGGACUGAGACACGGCCCAGACUCCUACGGGAGGCAGCAGUGGGGAAUUUUGGACAAUGGGGGAAACCCUGAUCCAGCCAUCCCGCGUGUGCGAUGAAGGCCUUCGGGUUGUAAAGCAACUUUUGGCAGGAAAAGAAACGUCAUGGGUUAAUACCCCGUGAAACUGACGGUA